Molecule: ribosomal RNA, 373 nt
Filed under: uncultured bacterium
Lineage: Bacteria
Description: bacterial SSU rRNA
Rfam family: Bacterial small subunit ribosomal RNA
Source: RNAcentral
AUACGGAGGAUGCAAGCGUUAUCCGGAAUCACUGGGUUUAAAGGGUGCGCAGGCGGAAUAGUAAGUCAGAGGUGAAAGCCCACAGCUCAACUGUGGAAUUGCCUUUGAUACUGUUAUUCUUGAGUGUAGUUGAAGUAGGCGGAAUAUAGCAUGUAGCGGUGAAAUGCAUAGAUAUGCUAUAGAACACCAAUUGCGAAGGCAGCUUGCUAAACUAUAACUGACGCUGAGGCACGAAAGCGUGGGGAGCGAACAGGAUUAGAUACCCUGGUAGUCCACGCCGUAAACGAUGAACACUCGCUGUUGGCAAUACACCGUCAGCGGCUGAGCGAAAGCGUUAAGUGUUCCACCUGGGAAGUACGAUCGCAAGGUUGAA